CGGUUUUAGUGGCGGACGGGUGAGUAACGCGUGGGUAACCUGCCUCACACUGGGGGAUAACACUUAGAAACAGGUGCUAAUACCGCAUAAGCGCACGGGACUGCAUGGUCUUGUGUGAAAAACUCCGGUGGUGUGAGAUGGACCCGCGUCUGAUUAGCUGGUUGGCGGGGUAACGGCCCACCAAGGCGACGAUCAGUAGCCGGCCUGAGAGGGUGGACGGCCACAUUGGGACUGAGACACGGCCCAAACUCCUACGGGAGGCAGCAG
This 267-nucleotide ribosomal RNA is filed under the name uncultured bacterium. RNAcentral describes it as "partial 16S ribosomal RNA". It matches the Rfam family "Bacterial small subunit ribosomal RNA", at positions 87 to 354 of the family's 1533-position model. The record is from RNAcentral.